RNAcentral lists this ribosomal RNA (484 nucleotides) under uncultured bacterium. RNAcentral's name for it is "partial 16S ribosomal RNA". It matches the Rfam family "Bacterial small subunit ribosomal RNA", at positions 30 to 507 of the family's 1533-position model. The record is from RNAcentral.
AUUGAACGCUGGCGGCAGGCCUAACACAUGCAAGUCGAGCGGAUGAAGGGAGCUUGCUCCUGGAUUCAGCGGCGGACGGGUGAGUAAUGCCUAGGAAUCUGCCUGGUAGUGGGGGAUAACGUCCGGAAACGGGCGCUAAUACCGCAUACGUCCUGAGGGAGAAAGUGGGGGAUCUUCGGACCUCACGCUAUCAGAUGAGCCUAGGUCGGAUUAGCUAGUUGGUGGGGUAAAGGCCUACCAAGGCGACGAUCCGUAACUGGUCUGAGAGGAUGAUCGGUCACACUGGAACUGAGACACGGUCCAGACUCCUACGGGAGGCAGCAGUGGGGAAUAUUGGACAAUGGGCGAAAGCCUGAUCCAGCCAUGCCGCGUGUGUGAAGAAGGUCUUCGGAUUGUAAAGCACUUUAAGUUGGGAGGAAGGGCAGUAAGUUAAUACCUUGCUGUUUUGACGUCACCAACAGAAUAAGCACCGGCUAACUUCGUG